AUCAAUUAGGGUUACAAGGAAUCAUCUCAGACCUAAUCUCUAAGAGAUUUAGCUACUCAUAAUUGAGUUUACAAAUAGCAUAAUCAAUGGAAAAAUUAAAACAUACAUAAACUGGAUUAGAGAUGAUGAAAUCGCCCCUUCUGCAGUCUUCUGGGUGUUGAAAUCGCACUUUAGCUCUCCAAAAUCGUAACCCUUGUUUUCAGAAUAGUCUUCAGCUUAAAUAGGCAACAUUUUCUGCGUCCAAAAUCGCGCAACGCCUCAUAAAAUCGCGCCACGAUUCUGAAAAAUCGCGCCACGCCACUCAAAAUCGCGCCACGGUUGCCAAUUUCCAGCACUUCCAAAAUUUCUGCUUUUUACUCCCCCAGGCUGUCUAAAAUUGCUACAGACUCAAUAAAAACAUCAAAACAACUGUUUCUUCAAAAUCUUGUAUUUUUCAUGCUUUCCUUGUUGUUUAAGCUUGCUUGUGAACUCAAAAUUAUCAUAAAAAGACUCUAAAAAUAGCAAAUGACUGACUGUC
Molecule: long non-coding RNA, 517 nt
Filed under: Medicago truncatula (barrel medic)
Lineage: Eukaryota; Viridiplantae; Streptophyta; Magnoliopsida; Fabales; Fabaceae
Description: long non-coding RNA (MTRU_LNC002998)
Source: RNAcentral